AGCACUUGUGUAUUUUUGUUUUACUUGUGGAGGAAGACUUAUAGACAGGUGCAAAAAAAAAAUCCUCUUUUGCAAGCCAGAAGUCAUUGUUCAGAAUGAGUUUUGAUACAUGUAAGCAGGAAGGAA
This is a small nucleolar RNA of Sciurus carolinensis (gray squirrel), 126 nucleotides long. RefSeq annotates it as small nucleolar RNA SNORA40. Lineage: Eukaryota; Metazoa; Chordata; Mammalia; Rodentia; Sciuridae. The transcript has a single exon. The record is from RefSeq and is a predicted model, not a curated record.